Molecule: ribosomal RNA, 455 nt
Filed under: uncultured Lachnospiraceae bacterium
Lineage: Bacteria; Bacillati; Bacillota; Clostridia; Lachnospirales; Lachnospiraceae
Description: partial 16S ribosomal RNA
Source: RNAcentral
CACGUAGUUAGCCGGGGCUUCUUAGUCAGGUACCGUCAUUUUCUUCCCUGCUGAUAGAGCUUUACAUACCGAAAUACUUCUUCACUCACGCGGCGUCGCUGGAUCAGGGUUCCCCCCAUUGUCCAAUAUUCCCCACUGCUGCCUCCCGUAGGAGUUUGGGCCGUGUCUCAGUCCCAAUGCGGCCGUUCACCCUCUCAGGCCGGCUACUGAUCGUCGCCUUGGUGGGCCGUUACCCCGCCAACCAGCUAAUCAGACGCGGGUCCAUCCUGUACCACCGGAGUUUUCACACUGUAUCAUGCGAUACUGUGCGCUUAUGCGGUAUUAGCACCUAUUUCUAAGUGUUACUCCCCCUGUACAGGGCACGGUUCCCACGCGUUACUCACCCGUCCGCCACUAAGAUCGCCAACAUUUCCACUCUUAGCAAGCUAAUCGACUUACAAAAUGGCACUCCCCGU